AUGGUGGAGAUUUCAGAGGAGCGAUUGGCGGAGUUCGGGGGGAGAGACCACCGCAAACGCGCGCGCUUGGUGGAGAUUGGGACCUGGUUCCAAACCAAGGCGGAGAUGCGGGCGGAGGCGCAGGCGGUGAUAGACGCGCUGUCCGCCGAGGAGGAGCGAGACCUGAGUGCCACAAAGUGGGGGCAUCACCCUCUGGAGGUGCUCCUGUGGGCAACGACGCAGGCGGAGUCGUCGGAUGCGAGGAGGGCGGCCAAUGGGCCCGUUCCUCUCCUUCGCCACUGCGAAGUUGAAGCCGGCAAUGGAUCCCGCGGCACUGCGGGGAGACGAGGUGGUGUUGGGGCUCCCUGCACCAGGAUUGAAGAUUGCCCCGCUGGAGAUCGACGGGGAAGGCAGCAGGAGCAGGAAGGGGGCGACGCGGGGAGGCAAGACGGCGAUAGCUCCAAGGCGUUCGCCUCGUCUGAAUCCAGAGCCAAUCGAGCAGCCGCGCCGAUCCGCUCACCUGCUCGGGCGCAGGGCCUGAAUUCCCAUUCUUGGAGCAACCGAUUUUGGUUGCUGAUGGGGGAGGGGAGUCAGACCUUGAAUCUGAAGAUGCUACCAAUAAAGAUAAGCAUGAUAUCUGCAAUUCCUCUGUUUAUAUGA
This 639-nucleotide ribosomal RNA is filed under the name Triticum aestivum (bread wheat). RNAcentral's name for it is "partial small subunit ribosomal RNA". The record is from RNAcentral. Lineage: Eukaryota; Viridiplantae; Streptophyta; Magnoliopsida; Poales; Poaceae.